UUUGUUCAUAUUUGUAUUUUCGAUCCAUCUCUUCUUGAGUAGUUUGAAUUCAUUUUCCUAUCAAAUGAGAGAUCAGAGAGAUGAUCACAUGGUGGUUAAUGCAGAAAAAUAUUAUGGAAGCUGAUGAAUCUAAAAAGUGAUUUAAUAUUCAAAAUUACAAACGAUAAAACAUUUAUUUUUUUUCACAAAAUCGAUGAAAUUAUUUAACCACACGCCAUUUAAAUUCUUGAAACACUUGAGGAUAAUCUUCUUUGUGGAGUCCCUCAUCAAAAUUCUGCGAAUAACUAACUGCAUCAUACUGAAAUUUCACAGGUUUUGAAGGUGCAUAUAUACUCUUGCUUUCAUUAACAAUCUUUCUGAGGAAAUUUCUCAAUCUUCUGCUUCUGUUGUUUCCAUGGCUAAUGUGAAUUCUAGAGUAUUGUUCAUGAACCGGAAUACAUGAAGGCGACAUGCAGCCUGAGAAAUACGAAAGCCGGCGGCGGUUGGUAUCACCUUCCAUUUUUUUUGCAGCAGAUAAGAGGCUAAGAUUGAAGGGAGUUUAAUCUUUGAUAAGGAGAAGAUCUGUGUGUUUUCUAGUGGUUUGCUUAUAUUUG
This 593-nucleotide long non-coding RNA is filed under the name Olea europaea (common olive). RNAcentral describes it as "long non-coding RNA (OEUR_LNC011759)". The record is from RNAcentral. Lineage: Eukaryota; Viridiplantae; Streptophyta; Magnoliopsida; Lamiales; Oleaceae.